AUGCCGGAAGGAACCAAGGUCCUCAGGGAUAGGCGGAAAAUGCAUAACGGCGGCUAUAUCUCGGGCCUCUAAAAUACCAUGCUGGCCAUCAAUAAAAAAAUGAAUGGCUAUGGGGUCCUGGACGCCUCUAGUAGUCAUAGUUUGGUAGAAAUCUAAGACUACCCUAGGGUAAUAGAAGGACCUAGGAGUCAUAAAUGGCUCGAUGUGGUACCUCUGCAGAAGGCGGUAUGACUCCUCUAGCUCUGGUAAUAGGCGGAGAGUCUCAUGCUCCAUACAGAUCUCAUCGUGAAAUGACCUAUCUCUGAUAUGAAGUUUGAAAAUGAAUUUAAAAAGAAUCAUAUCCUUGGUAAGCAUGAAGAAAAAAUUUCGCAAGGUGAAAAUUCACCUUGCCAAAUUUUCGCACUGGUUACUCCCCUUAAAAACCAAUCCCGAGAGGUUGCAUUUUGAUAUUUGCUUUGAAAACAAUUUCGCAAGGUGAAAAAUGACUUGCGAAAAUUUUCGCACUGGUUACUCCUUGCGAAAGUGCAAUCCCGAGAGGUUGUAAAUUGCAUCUUGCCAAAAUGUGCAUUUUGCAAGGUGAAAUUCACCUUGCCAAAUUUUCGCAACUCACUUUUUGAGUUGCGAAAUGGGCUUUUAAGCUUGGACUUAGAUAUAUUUCUCCCCUAUUUCACUUUUCUCUCCACAUUUGUGAGCUUGUGAGCUUUCGUACCUGCUAUUGGACAUCAAAGCUCCAUUAAAAACAUAAAAAAUCAAAAUCAAAACUAAGAAACCUAAACAAAAUAUGUGCAAAAGUAUUAAAAAUGCAAAGUAAACAAGAAUGUAAUACUAAAAUUAAAACAAAAA
Molecule: long non-coding RNA, 843 nt
Filed under: Vitis vinifera (wine grape)
Lineage: Eukaryota; Viridiplantae; Streptophyta; Magnoliopsida; Vitales; Vitaceae
Description: long non-coding RNA (VVIN_LNC003851)
Source: RNAcentral